Molecule: transfer RNA, 75 nt
Filed under: Candidatus Moraniibacteriota bacterium
Lineage: Bacteria; Candidatus Moraniibacteriota
Description: tRNA-Glu
Rfam family: tRNA
About the family: Transfer RNA (tRNA) molecules are approximately 80 nucleotides in length.
Source: RNAcentral
GGCCCCAUCGUCUAGUGGUUAGGACAGCGGGUUCUCAAUCCGUCAACAGGAGUUCGAUUCUCCUUGGGGCUACAA